UACGGAGGGUGCGAGCGUUGUCCGGAAUCACUGGGCGUAAAGCGCGUGUAGGCUGCUUGGCAAGUCGGAUGUGAAAGCCCUGGGCUCAACCCAGGAAGUGCAUUCGAAACUGCCGAGCUGGAGUCCUGGAGAGGAAGGCGGAAUUCUCGGUGUAGAGGUGAAAUUCGUAGAUAUCGAGAGGAACACCGGUGGCGAAGGCGGCCUUCUGGACAGUGACUGACGCUGAGACGCGAAAGCGUGGGGAGCAAACAGG
RNAcentral lists this ribosomal RNA (253 nucleotides) under uncultured bacterium. Its description in RNAcentral is "partial 16S ribosomal RNA". It matches the Rfam family "Bacterial small subunit ribosomal RNA", at positions 524 to 776 of the family's 1533-position model. The record is from RNAcentral.